Molecule: ribosomal RNA, 429 nt
Filed under: uncultured archaeon
Lineage: Archaea
Description: bacterial SSU rRNA
Rfam family: Archaeal small subunit ribosomal RNA
Source: RNAcentral
UACCAGCUCUCCGAGUGGUAGGGAUGUUUAUUGGGCUUAAAGCGUCCGUAGCCGGCCCAGAAAGUCCUCCGUUAAAUCCAACGAUUUAAUCGCUGGACUGCAGGGGAUACUCUUGGGCUUGGGGACGGGAGAGGUCGACGGUAUUCUCGGAGUAGGGGUGAAAUCCUAUAAUUCCGGGAGGACCACCAGUGGCGAAGGCUGUCGACUGGAACGAGCUCGACGGUGAGGGACGAAAGCUGGGGGAGCGAACCGGAUUAGAUACCCGGGUAGUCCCAGCCGUAAACGAUGCGGGCUAGGUGUUAGGGUGGCUACGAGCCACUUUAGUGCCGCAGCGAAGGCAUUAAGCCCGCCGCCUGGGGAGUACGGCCGCAAGGCUGAAACUUAAAGGAAUUGGCGGGGGAGCACCACAAGGCGUGAAGCGUGCGGUUU